This is a long non-coding RNA of Lathyrus oleraceus (garden pea), 1614 nucleotides long. RefSeq lists it as uncharacterized. Lineage: Eukaryota; Viridiplantae; Streptophyta; Magnoliopsida; Fabales; Fabaceae. The record is from RefSeq and is a predicted model, not a curated record. The transcript has 2 exons.
CAAUUAACAACUAACCAAAUGAAUUAAUAACAAAAAAACACAAAAAAAGAAAGAGUACAAACGGGCCUUGGUGUAGUGGCCCAUUCAGUGGGGUGUGCAUUGUGAAAUGGAGUGUGUGAUGAAGACACAGAAUGCCAUGGGCUUUGUAUGGGAUUGCCCAAGCCCAACGUACAAGAAUGAGGAACGCCGUGAUGUUCCAAUUCAUCUCUCCUCGCGUUCACUCUCUGACUCACAAGAGAAGCAAAACAUUACGAGUCUAGCCGUGCCGGUUCGUCACCGGCGGUGGUGAUCCAAAAAUGCCUAAGCACUCACACUUUCCGGUCUUGUUUCUCUCAACAAAACAAAUCACAUCCAGCACAAAUCCUCGGCGGGAAGAAAAAAACCGGUGUACGGAAAAAAACGUAAUGGAUCCAAACUACAUCAACGAAUGAAUCAACACGAAGGGAAAAGGCUCUCACCGUUGACGCCGAAUCCUCUAUCGCGAGCAGUUCGAAGUCCUCCGUGCAAGCGUCGUGCGCGGUCUCACUUUGCGGAUUGUGAAGGUCGCGCUCGAGUCCAAGUUCUUGACAGCGACGAAUACGUUACACCGUGCUCGCGUGGUGCUGAUGAAGAUGAUCACGAAUUUCUGUUGGAAUCCUUCGUCUCUUGUCCUCCAUCUGCUGGAGAAGACGGAGGUGAUAACGAUCCAGAUAAGUCUCCUUGCUCCCGCUUUCUUCUUUUCCUUCUGUUCUUCCUCUGUUCUUCUUUGUAUUUUCUGCUUCUCUUUUAUGAAAGGUUUAAGAGUGAUUUUUUCGUUAUCUUUUCUCUAUUAUGGAGUGUUAUGGAGUGUUAAGAUUGGAAGGUGGAGAGAGGAAUCGAAGGUGGUGGAAAUGGAAUGAGCGAGCGAUCCCCUUUUGUUAGAACUGGAAACUGGAUUUUAUAGGGACGAGAGGGAUUUUUGUUGCAGGUUAAAAUAAGUUAGCUGUUGGCUUUGCAGUUUGGACUUGAUUUUAUGCAGCUGUAGUUGUGCGUCUUGGUUUUGUUUCCGUGUUAUGCAACUCGACUUGGCUUGCACGCUGCAAUUGGUAUGGCUGUUAGUGUUGCUGCUGUCUGCAGCGUUUUGUUCUGCAGGCGGUACACUGCGUAUGAAGUUGUGUUGCAUGCUGCAACUUGUUGUUUUGGCUCAACUGUUGGAUCACCGUUUGCAGUUGGUGUUGGUUUUCGGCUGCACUUUGUUGUUUGGAUUCAGACGGCAUUGCAGGAUAAGUCCUUGUACACACGGUUUUGAUAUUGUAAUGCGUAAUACUAACAUCUGGUGUAUGCUAGAUUUUUUGUUGAUGUUAUUCGUUUGUUCUGCAGUGUAUCAGCUGCUAUUGGCGUUGAUUACCGUUUCAUGUCGUUUAGCAUUGGCUUGUAUGCAGCUGGCGUGUAUAUUUGUUUUGGUUCUACUGUCAUUUGCGUUUGUAGCUUGUGCUUCCUGUACAUUGCCUUUUAUUUUUCUUAAUGUAUAUUAAUAAAUGUAAAGUGUUAUUUGGAUAAUGUAAAGUAUGAUUUGGAUGAUGGUUUUGGUGAAUGGUUCCAUAUGUAAUGGAUAAUGGUUAAUUGUUUCAAUGGAUAAUGGAUACUUGACGGAUA